UACGGAGGGUGCAAGCGUUAAUCGGAAUUACUGGGCGUAAAGCGUGCGUAGGUGGUUCGUUAAGUCCGUUGUGAAAGCCCCGAGCUCAACUUGGGAAUUGCAGUGGAUACUGGCGAGCUGGAGUGCGGUAGAGGAAGGUGGAAUUCCCGGUGUAGCGGUGAAAAUGCGUAGAGAUCGGGAGGAACACCAGUGGCGAAGGCGGACCUUCUGGACCAGCACUGACACUCAAGCACGAAAAGCGUGGGGAGCAAACAGGG
Molecule: ribosomal RNA, 257 nt
Filed under: uncultured bacterium
Lineage: Bacteria
Description: partial 16S ribosomal RNA
Rfam family: Bacterial small subunit ribosomal RNA
Source: RNAcentral